This is a long non-coding RNA of Chelonia mydas (Green sea turtle), 2602 nucleotides long. RefSeq lists it as uncharacterized. The record is from RefSeq and is a predicted model, not a curated record. The transcript has 5 exons. NCBI's taxonomy places the organism in Eukaryota, Metazoa, Chordata, Testudines, Cheloniidae.
CCCAUGAAAGCUUAUGCUCUAAUAAAUUUGUUAGUCUCUAAGGUGCCACAAGUACUCCUGUUCUUUUUUUGAAAAUUCAAACUAACUUUUUGUUACCCCUUUCCCGCCGGGAUCCAUUGCCUGCAGACUGCCCUGCAGAAAGUCUCUGGGAUGAAACGUCUUGUCCCAUCUGCCUAGAGUAUUUCCAAGAGCCAGUACCGGUCUAUCCACUGCGGGCACAACUUCUUCCGGGCCUGCAUCAGCCAGUGCUGCGGGGAAAUAAGUACAAACCUUUCCUUCCCCCCAGUGCAGAGAAACUGCCCGGCAGAGAAACCUGCAGCCCAGGAGGGGAGCUAGUGUGUGAGAGACACCAGGAGGCCCUGAAACUCUUCUUUGAAGUGGAUCAAACCCCAAUCCGCGUGGUGUGUGAUAGAUCCAAGGCUCUGAGCCAGAUCUCACACGGUGGUUCCCAUAGAAGAUGCUGCCCAGGAGGACAAGCAAUCAGCAAUGUGGGAGCAGAGUCGGAGGCCAGUGCUACAUAUGAGAGGCCAGUGCUACAUACGGAGGCCUGGACCCAGCUUGCGUUCCUAAGAUGAACUGGCUGUCCUCUGUGACCUGCUGUUCUCCCCCAGUUCCUGCACCAUCCAUGGCCUGGCGUGAACAAUUCCAGACCCGACUGCAGGCUCUGAAGGAAGAGAGAGAAAAGCUCCUGGGAUGGAAACUGACUGGAGAGAGGAGAAGCUCAGAGUACCUGUGUAGAGAGCUCACCUGCCCAGCUGAGCAUGUGGGGUCCACGCUCCAAACGCUCUCCUGCCUGGAGUCCGCAGGAGGUGUUGGAUCUCCUUGGCCUGUGGGGAGAAGAGGGUGUGCAGGCAGAGCUCCAAUCCAGCCGUAGAAAUGCAGAUGUCUCUGAGAAGAUCGCUCGGGGCAUGGUGGAGAAGGGCUAUCAGAGGGACCCAUGGCAGUGUCGCGUGAAAGCCGAGGCGUGGCAGCUCGCGUAGCAGAAGGCAAGGGAGACGAACGGUCGCUUUGGUGCAGCACUGCCGACCUGCCCCUUUUACAAAGAGCUGCCUGCCAUCCUCUGCGACGACCCCCACCCCCAAGAGCCGCCUGGAGUCCUCGGAGGAGUCGGAGUCCCAGGGCACUGCAGGCAGUGGUGAGGUGGAGCUGCUGGUCGAGGAAGAGGAGGAGAUGAACGGGAGACAGGCGAGCGGGGGAUCCGUUGUCCCAGGGAGCCAGGAGCUGUGUGUAACCCUGGAGCAGUCCAGCCAGUCGCAGCACUGCAGCAUGGCUGACCGCGAUGCUGGGGAGGGUACCUCUGCCAGGAGUGCAGCCUGGGGCUCUCCCUCCACAUUGGCAGAGAGGCUCUUCCAGAUAAGACGAAGGCCAAAGAGAACCUGAGACGACACACCGAAUGAGAGAAUGAACACCUCUGGGAGGGCAGACACCAAGCCGAGGACCACUGUCUCGGAAAAAACGGACGUUCUGCGCAGGGCGCAAGCCAAGAAGACUGAGCGUGGCAUGCAGCAGGAGGUGCUGGGGAUUCUGAAGGAACAAACAGACAUUUUGAGGCGUCUGCUUGACCUUCAGGAGAGAUACUUUAAGUCUCGACUCCCACUGCAGCCCCUCCACUACAGCACUCUAACAUCACCCUACUUCCCCUCCCCUCCUUGCACACAUUCCACUUGGCGUAGCGGCCCAAUGCAGUAUCCCUUCCUCUCAAUCCCCAGGGAGGGUGCACGGAAUCCCAGCUGCCCAUUCACUGAUGUGUGGCAGGCCGGGUCCAUGCACUUUUAAACAGAAGGGGAAUGUGCAUUCCCCCUCCCAGUUGUAUAUUCCCCUGGGGUUUCCAAGGUUUACCUCCGUGGCACGUAUUUCUGUUUCUGUGUGCAAUAAAAGUCCAUUUCUCAAAAACGAAACCAUCUUUAUGACUUCAAAGUGAAGGCGGAGGGAAACUGAGGCACUCAAGGGGGUUGAACAAGGUCACACAGAGCUGGACCUGUACAUAGAACCCAGGAGUCCUGGCUCCUAUCCCCUUCUUGCUCUAAACAUUAGUCCACACUCCUCACACUCACGGCAGCCACUGGAGUAGCCCCUGUGAGGUAUGUAGUAUAGGGUCUCAGCCCAUUCUCCAGGCAUCAUUUCCCCCCUCACUGGCAGUGCCUUUGGAGAGGCCAGGGGCUGAGUGGACUGUGGGGUGGUCGCCCCAGCUGUAGCAAGGGAGGGGGCUCUCGUGGUUGAAUCAGGUGGGGGCUGGGAGUCAUUUUCAGAGCAUAGUAAGAGGUGUAUUUCCAAGGUUACAUUACUACACAAACAGCUGUCAAAGCAAGGUUCAGACUAUUGGCAGGCACAAUGCAGAAAAGCAACACCCAUUACCGGGGGUCAUUAAUCAAAUGGAUUUUCAAAGCCACCCAGAGCCGCAUUGCUCCCCGCUGAGCUCCUGAUAGCCCCGGUAGCUGUUUGCUCAAAAAUAGCAGCCAGCUGAUCUACCGCCAUGCCCCCACCCCUGUGGAAACAUCUCUCCCUUUGCCCCACAGAAAUUAUGAAGCACACAGCAGGCAACGAUAGCGAAGGUUAAGAUUCUGUCACGGUUCUUUUUACUAAAAGUCACGAGCAAUAAACA